RNAcentral lists this ribosomal RNA (301 nucleotides) under uncultured bacterium. RNAcentral's name for it is "partial 16S ribosomal RNA". It matches the Rfam family "Bacterial small subunit ribosomal RNA", at positions 509 to 807 of the family's 1533-position model. The record is from RNAcentral.
CAGUCGCCACGGGAAUACGUAGGGUGCAAGCGUUAAUCGGAAUUACUGGGCGUAAAGCGUGCGCAGGCGGUUUGUUAAGACAGAUGUGAAAUCCCCGGGCUCAACCUGGGAACUGCAUUUGUGACUGGCAAGCUAGAGUAUGGCAGAGGGGGGUGGAAUUCCGCGUGUAGCAGUGAAAUGCGUAGAUAUGCGGAGGAACACCGAUGGCGAAGGCAGCCCCCUGGGCCAAUACUGACGCUCAUGCACGAAAGCGUGGGGAGCAAACAGGAUUAGAUACCCCGGUAGUCCCUGUCUCUUAUAC